CCCGCCAUUUCCGCCGCCGGGUGAAGGGUCGCGCCGUGGCCGCCGCCGCCGCCCCCGCGCCCCCGUUUUUCCGGGGCUGCCCCGCGCCGGGGACAUGGAGCGGCACUGACGGACCCGCCGCCGCCCCCUCCUUCCUUCCUCCCUCCCCCGCCCGCCCUCCCUCCCGCAACUGCAGCCGCCCCCCCGCGCCCCCCUCAGCCCGCCCGCCACGGGGAGGUCGCCGCGCCCCGCGUUUCCUGUCCUGCCCAGCUCUCUGAGUAGUUAAUGCAGAAGAUAAAGAGGGUUCGUCUGGAAAACGAGACUGCAGGAAGUUGGAGAAGUUUUUUGCCCAGCUCUGAAGGGGAAACGAGGAUGACUGCGGUGGACACGCUGUCGGACAGCUCCGAAGUGGUCGAGAUGGAGGAUGUGCCUUCCCAAUUCCAGGUGCAGAAGCAUUCUUGGGAUGGGCUGCGUGACAUAAUCCACAGCAGCAGGAAGUACUCGGGCAUGAUAGUGAACAAAGCUCCCCACGAUUUCCAGUUUGUCCGGAAAACGGAGGAGUCCAGCCCGCACUCGCAUCGCCUCUAUUACCUGGGAAUGCCAUAUGGUAGCAGAGAGAAUUCCCUUCUUUACUCAGAGAUUCCCAAAAAGGUACGGAAGGAGGCCUUGCUGCUCCUGUCCUGGAAGCAGAUGCUGGACCACUUUCAGGCAACCCCCCACCACGGGAUGUAUUCCAGAGAGGAGGAACUCCUGAGGGAACGCAAGCGGCUCGGGGUCUUUGGGAUAACAUCUUAUGAUUUCCACAGUGAGAGUGGCCUGUUCCUCUUCCAGGCCAGCAACAGCCUCUUUCACUGUCGAGAUGGGGGCAAGAAUGGAUUCAUGGUGUCUCCAAUGAAGCCUCUGGAGAUCAAGACUCAGUGCACGGGGCCACGGAUGGAUCCCAAAAUCUGCCCUGCUGACCCAGCCUUCUUUUCAUUCAUCAACAACAAUGAUCUGUGGGUGGCAAACAUCGAGACUGGUGAGGAGAAGAGGAUGACAUACUGCCAUAAAGGCUUAUCCAAUGUUCUUGAUGACCCCAAGUCUGCUGGUGUAGCCACUUUUGUCAUUCAGGAGGAGUUUGAUCGGUUCACGGGCUAUUGGUGGUGUCCCACAGCUUCCACAGAAGGUCCAGAGGACUUGAAAACACUGCGGAUCUUGUAUGAGGAAGUGGAUGAGUCAGAGGUGGAGAUAAUUCACGUUCCUUCACCUGCCUUGGAGGAGAGAAAAACAGACUCCUAUCGAUACCCCAGGACAGGCAGCAAAAACCCCAAGAUUACAUUAAAACUGGCAGAAUUUAAAACAGACAGCAAGGGAAAGAUCGUGUGUGCUCAGGACAAGGAGCUGGUGCAACCCUUCGCUGCGUUGUUUCCCACCGUGGAGUACAUCGCCCGCGCUGGAUGGACCCGGGAUGGCAAAUAUGCCUGGGCUAUGUUCCUAGACAGACCUCAGCAGCGGAUGCAGCUAAUCCUUCUGCCUCCAGCACUCUUUAUUCCAGCCCCAGAAAACGAGGAGCAGCGUGCUGAAUUUGCCAAAACUGUGCCAGAAAAUGUCCAGCCAUUUGUGAUCUAUGAAGAAACCACUGAUGUGUGGAUAAAUGUCCACGAUAUCUUCUACCCCUUCAUCCAGCCAGAGGGGGAGGAGGAAGAGCUCUGCUUCAUCCGAGCCAACGAGUGCAAGACAGGUUUCUGCCACCUGUACAGGGUGACAGCCAUCCUGAAGCCAGGCAGCCACGACUGGGUGCAGCCUUAUGUCCACAGUGAGGACGAUUUCAAGUGUCCCAUCAAGGAGGAGGUUGCCCUGACUGGUGGGGAGUGGGAGGUGCUGGCAAGGCAUGGAUCCAAGAUCUGGGUCAACGAGGCCACCAAGCUGGUGUACUUCCAAGGCACGAAGGACACCCCGUUGGAGCACCACCUCUACGUGGUCAGCUACGAGUCCCCUGGGGAAAUCAUGAGACUCACCACUCCAGGCUUCUCCCACAGCUGUUCCAUGAGCCAGAACUUUGACAUGUUCAUCAGCCACUACAGCAGUGUGAGCACUCCACCCUGUGUGCACAUCUACAAGCUCAGCGGCCCCGACGACGACCCGCUCCACAAGCAGCCCAAAUUCUGGGCCAGCAUGAUGGAGGCAGCCAGUUGUCCCCCGGAUUACGUCCCUCCGGAGAUCUUUCACUUCCGCACUCAGUCGGAUGUUGAGCUCUAUGGAAUGGUCUACAAACCUCACGAUGUCCAGCCUGGGAAGAAGCAUCCCACGGUGCUCUUUGUGUAUGGAGGCCCCCAGGUGCAGCUGGUGAAUAACUCCUUCAAAGGCAUCAAGUACCUGAGGCUGAACACGUUGGCAUCCCUGGGCUAUGCUGUGGUGGUGAUUGAUGGCAGGGGAUCGUGCCAGCGAGGACUCAAAUUUGAAGGGGCCCUAAAAAACCAAAUGGGUCAGGUGGAGAUAGAGGACCAGGUGGAAGGUUUACAUUAUGUAGCAGAAAAAUACGGGUUCAUCGACUUGAGCCGGGUCGCCAUCCACGGCUGGUCCUACGGGGGGUUCCUGUCCCUCAUGGGGCUCAUCUGUAAACCCAAUGUCUUCAAGAUUGCCAUAGCAGGUGCUCCUGUCACAGUGUGGAUGGCCUACGACACCGGCUACACCGAGCGGUACAUGGACAUCCCGGAGAACAACCAGCAGGGCUACGAGGCUGGCUCUGUGGCAUUACACGUGGAAAAGCUUCCCAACGAGCCAAACCGUUUGCUGAUCCUCCAUGGCUUUUUGGAUGAAAAUGUGCACUUUUUUCACACCAACUUCCUGGUAUCGCAGCUAAUCCGGGCUGGAAAACCUUACCAGCUGCAGAUCUACCCCAACGAGAGACACAGUAUUCGGUGCCCUGAGUCAGGAGAGCACUACGAAAUCACGCUGCUGCACUUUCUACAAGAAUACCUCUGAGAGCACGAGCCUCUGCAAACUGGACACUGACAGCUCACCCCCACUCCUGUGCCCUCCUGCCCCCGACAGCCGUCGAACCCAGAGCACAAGUGGCCGAGUGCCCACGGCGGGCUGGGUGUCCCCCCGCGCCAGGGGAAGGCUGGAGGGCACCUUCCCUUUCUGGACAGUGCCACCUUCUCUCACUUUCCAAGCUGGAGGUCUGCCCCUGCUCGGCUGCUCGUCCUCUUCCUCUCCUCCAGCCUGGCUGUUCAAUGCUUUUUUUGCUGCUACUCCCUCUCUCCUGGGAAUCAAUGGACAGUGGUCUGUCUCCCGAGGCUGAGAUAUAUCUAUCUAUUUUCCAGUUUCAUUUUGCAGAGCAGAUGGAGGAAGUGGCUGGGGCCGGUGACAGCGUCCUCUGAUCCUUCCUCUCAUGGCCGCUCGCGCGCGGAGUUGUGCCAACAACAGGUAGCACUUGGCAGCUGGCUACAACCAGAAGCCUCUCUCCAGAGCUCACAGCAGCAUCUGGGUUUUUUGCAACACAAGAUGGAUGAUAUUUAUGCAAAUCCUCCCUCCCUCCGUUCUCUGUGCCGCCUCCUGAUCCCACCUCCUCCUCCCGCCCCCCUCCUCCCCGAGCUUUCAGACGUGCACUGAAAUUGGCUGUGCUUCAGUUCUCUGCGGGUCAGUGACUGGUCCCCCUUGCCCACCUACUCAGAAAAAAAAAAAAAAACGCUCUCUCCUGGUUUUUAAUUUACCUGGGCAACAGGAACUGCAGUUCUGGGGAGGGGGGAUUGAGCAAUCACACCUCAGGGGAGCACAUCCCCCCCUUCAAGCCAAGGGGUUCUGCCAGGGGGCAAAACGCAAACAAAAGAAACAAAACCCACCCAAAUGAACCACGUUGACUUUGCCCUGGAGUAUUUUAAGUGCGUAUUAUGAAAAGAAAAUAUUUUUAUGGAUUCUUAUUCUUUUAUAAUUAUGAGUGUUAAGAUGUAGCGACUCAUUAAAAUAUUGGAAAGAGA
This is an RNA transcript of Pseudopipra pipra, 3938 nucleotides long. It is a transcript of the gene named dipeptidyl peptidase 9, with no coding region annotated. The transcript is spliced from 22 exons. The record is from RefSeq and is a predicted model, not a curated record. Lineage: Eukaryota; Metazoa; Chordata; Aves; Passeriformes; Pipridae.